GACGAACGCUGGCGGCGUGCUUAACACAUGCAAGUCGAACGGAAAGGCCCUGCUUGCAGGGUACUCGAGUGGCGAACGGGUGAGUAACACGUGGGUGAUCUGCCCUGCACUUCGGGAUAAGCCUGGGAAACUGGGUCUAAUACCGGAUAGGAGCCAUUUUUAGUGUGAUGGUUGGAAAGUUUUUUCGGUGUAGGAUGAGCUCGCGGCCUAUCAGCUUGUUGGUGGGGUAAUGGCCUACCAAGGCGGCGACGGGUAGCCGGCCUGAGAGGGUGGACGGCCACAUUGGGACUGAGAUACGGCCCAGACUCCUACGGGAGGCAGCAGGGGGGAAUAUUGCACAAUGGGCGUAAGCCUGAUGCAGCGACGCCGCGUGGGGGAUGACGGCCUUCGGGUUGUAAACUCCUUUCGCUAGGGACGAAGCUUUUUGUGACGGUACCUAGAGAAGAAGCACCGGCUAACUACGUG
RNAcentral lists this ribosomal RNA (465 nucleotides) under uncultured bacterium. Its description in RNAcentral is "partial 16S ribosomal RNA". It matches the Rfam family "Bacterial small subunit ribosomal RNA", at positions 28 to 507 of the family's 1533-position model. The record is from RNAcentral.